This 453-nucleotide ribosomal RNA is filed under the name uncultured Loktanella sp. RNAcentral describes it as "bacterial SSU rRNA". It matches the Rfam family "Bacterial small subunit ribosomal RNA", at positions 8 to 507 of the family's 1533-position model. Lineage: Bacteria; Pseudomonadati; Pseudomonadota; Alphaproteobacteria; Rhodobacterales; Roseobacteraceae. The record is from RNAcentral.
AGAGUUUGAUCCUGGCUCAGAACGAACGCUGGCGGCACGCCUAACACAUGCAAGUCGAGCGAGAUUUUCGGAUCUAGCGGCGGACGGGUUAGUAACGCGUGGGAACGUACCUUUUGCUACGGAAUAGCCUCGGGAAACUGGGAGUAAUACCGUAUGUGCCCUUUGGGGGAAAGAUUUAUCGGCAAAGGAUCGGCCCGCGUCUGAUUAGAUAGUUGGUGGGGUAAUGGCCUACCAAGUCUGCGAUCAGUAGCUGGUUUGAGAGGAUGAUCAGCAACACUGGGACUGAGACACGGCCCAGACUCCUACGGGAGGCAGCAGUGGGGAAUCUUAGACAAUGGGCGCAAGCCUGAUCUAGCGAUGCCGCGUGAGUGACGAAGGCCUUAGGGUCGUAAAGCUCUUUCGCCAGGGAUGAUAAUGACAGUACCUGGUAAAGAAACCCCGGCUAACUCCGUG